This 390-nucleotide ribosomal RNA is filed under the name Triticum aestivum (bread wheat). Its description in RNAcentral is "partial small subunit ribosomal RNA". Lineage: Eukaryota; Viridiplantae; Streptophyta; Magnoliopsida; Poales; Poaceae. The record is from RNAcentral.
AUGCAGAAUUUAUCAAACUACUUCCUAAGGGAGUUGAGCGAGGGAGGGAUCGCCGAUAUACUGAAUUCUCAAGUCCUUGAGGAAGCAACUGAGGAAGAGAUUAUCAAUGUCGCCACUCUCGCGGAACGGUGCUUAAGACUGCAUGGUGAAGAAAGACCCACCAUGAAACAAGUUGAGGUUGAGUUGCAGACUUUACGAACAACUAGAGCAAGCUCAUGUCAAGAUCCAAGCAAUGAAGAACAAACACAGCCAACCUUGUUAACUCAAGGAGCUGAAGUUGAUUUCCAGUCGUCAGCCACGGAAUUGGGUUGCAGAGUCAACUUAGAGUCGAGCCAAGGGUGCUAUGACUUGCAGCAAGAGUUCAUGGAAUCAGCUAGUCUAGCGCGCUAG